This is a long non-coding RNA of Coturnix japonica (Japanese quail), 1672 nucleotides long. The record is from Ensembl. Lineage: Eukaryota; Metazoa; Chordata; Aves; Galliformes; Phasianidae.
GCAUCUCCAAUCAACCCCGAGUCUACCCGAACGUACCCCCCCCCCAUUCCCAGUAUCCCCCAUCUCUCUCUUUGCCUGAGGGACCCCAGACCCAAAUUAAGGGACCCCAAUUAAGGGGGGGGGGGGGAUAAUAUGGGACCCCAGCCCCAAUUAGGGGCAGCCCUGGGGGUCCCUAAUUAAAGAAGAUGGGGGUCUCAGUUAAUUAGAGGUAAUGAUGGGGGCCGGGGGUCCGGAAUCGGGGACCCCAGCCCCAAUUAGGAGCUCCAUGAGGACCCCAGCCCCAAUUAGCACCAUUGGGACCCCAGACCCAAUUAAAAGCUCCAUUGGGACCCCAGCCCUAAUUAGGGAGCACCAUUGGGACCCCAGCCCUAAUUAGUGGCCCCAUUGGGACCCCAGCCCUAAUUAGAGGCUCCAUUGGGACCCCAGCCCCAAUUAGAGGCUCCAUUGGGACCCCAGCCCUAAUAAGGGAGCACCAUGAGGACCCCAGCCCCAAUUAGGGGCUCCAUUGGGACCCCAGCCCCCAAUGAAGGGCACCAUUGGGACCCCAGCCCUAAUUAGAGGCUCCAUUGGGACCCCAGCCCCAAUUAAAGGCUCCAUUAGGACCCCAGCCCUAACUAGGGGGCGUUAUUCCCCCUCUGUCCACUAGGGGGCGCCAUAGGAACAGCAGCCCUACACAGCGAUCCCAUUGAGACCCCAGCCCCAAUUAAAGUCUCCGUUGGGACCCCAGCCCCAAUUAAGGGCUCCAUGAGGACCCCAGCCCUAAUUAGGGAGCACCAUUGGGACCCCAGCCCUAAUUAGAGGCUCUUCUGGGACCCCAACCCUAAAUAGGGAGCACCAUUGGGACCCCCAAUUACCAUGCCAUACCACAACCAUCCACAAGGGGGCAGCACUGAGACCCCAGCCCCAAUUAGGGGCCGUUAUUCCCCCUCUCUCCACUAGGGGGCGCCAUCCCUACCUAUCGCUCCCAUUGAGACCCCAGCCCCAAUUAAAGGGACACCAUGCCAUACCACAACCGUCCACUAGGGGGCAGCACUGAGACCCCAGCCCCAAUUAGGGGCCGCUAUUCCCCUUACCCACCACCAGGGGGCAGCACUGAGACCCCAGCCCCAAUUAGUUGCCGUUAUUCCCCUUACCCUCCACUAGAGGGCGCUAUGGAACCCCAUCCCCAACCUAUCGCUCCCAUUGAGACCCCAGCCCCAAUUAAAGGGACACCAUGCCAUACCACAACCGUCCACUAGGGGGCAGCACUGAGACCCCAGCCCCAAUUAUGGUCCCUUAUACCCCUUACCCUCCACUAGGGGGCGCUAUGGAACCCCAUCCCCAACCUAUCGCUCCCAUUACGCCCCCAGCCCCAAUUAGGGGCUGUUAUUCGCCUUAACCACCACCAGGGAGCAGCACUGAGACCCCAACCCCAAUUAGGGGCUGUUAUUCCCCCUCUAUCCACAAGGGGGCAGCACUGAGACCCCAGCCCCAAUUAGUUGCCAUUAUUCCCCCUCCCUCCACUAGGGGUCGCUAUAGAACCCCAUCCCCACCUAUUGCUCCCAUUACGCCCCCAGCCCCAAUUCCCCCCCGUAUCCCCCCCCUCACACGGUGGUGACUGACAGCAGCGGGUUGUAGACCCUCCCCCCAUCCGCCCCCCUCAACAUCCCCUGGAUCGUCACCCAAUUCUCCA